RNAcentral lists this ribosomal RNA (474 nucleotides) under uncultured Entrophospora. RNAcentral's name for it is "SSU rRNA". It matches the Rfam family "Eukaryotic small subunit ribosomal RNA", at positions 569 to 1040 of the family's 1831-position model. The record is from RNAcentral. Lineage: Eukaryota; Fungi; Glomeromycota; Glomeromycetes; Entrophosporales; Entrophosporaceae.
AGCAGCCGCGGUAAUUCCAGCUCCAAUAGCGUAUAUUAAAGUUGUUGCAGUUAAAAAGCUCGUAGUUGAAUUUCGGGAUUGGCGCAUCGGUCGUGCCUCACGGGGUAUGAACUGGUGCAGUCAAUUUCUCACCUUCUGGAGAACCGCGAUGUCCUUAAUUGGAUGCCGCGGGGAACCAGGACCUUUACUUUGAAAAAAUUAGAGUGUUUAAAGCAGGCAUUUUUGCUUGAAUACAUUAGCAUGGAAUAAUAAAAUAGGACGGCAUGGUUCUAUUUUGUUGGUUUCUAGGACCACCGUAAUGAUUAAUAGGGAUAGUUGGGGGCAUUAGUAUUCAAUUGUCAGAGGUGAAAUUCUUGGAUUUAUUGAAGACUAACUACUGCGAAAGCAUUUGCCAAGGAUGUUUUCAUUAAUCAAGAACGAAAGUUAGGGGAUCGAAGACGAUCAGAUACCGUCGUAGUCUUAACCAUAAACUAU